ACGGGAGGCAGCAGUGGGGAAUAUUGCACAAUGGGCGAAAGCCUGACGCAGCGACGCCGCGUGAGUGAAGAAGUAUCUCGGUAUGUAAAGCUCUAUCAGCAGGGAAGAAAAUGACGGUACCUGACUAAGAAGCCCCGGCUAACUACGUGCCAGCAGCCGCGGUAAUACGUAGGGGGCAAGCGUUAUCCGGAUUUACUGGGUGUAAAGGGAGCGUAGACGGCAAAGCAAGUCUGAAGUGAAAUCCCGGGGCUCAACCCCGGAACUGCUUUGGAAACUGUUUAGCUAGAGUGCAGGAGAGGUAAGCGGAAUUCCUAGUGUAGCGGUGAAAUGCGUAGAUAUUAGGAGGAACACCAGUGGCGAAGGCGGCUUACUGGACUGUAACUGACGCUGAGGCUCGAAAGCGUGGGGAGCAAACAGGAUUAGAUACCCUGGUA
RNAcentral lists this ribosomal RNA (434 nucleotides) under uncultured Clostridiales Family XIV bacterium. RNAcentral describes it as "bacterial SSU rRNA". It matches the Rfam family "Bacterial small subunit ribosomal RNA", at positions 341 to 792 of the family's 1533-position model. The record is from RNAcentral. Lineage: Bacteria; Bacillati; Bacillota; Clostridia; Eubacteriales; Clostridiales Family XIV. Incertae Sedis.